Molecule: unclassified non-coding RNA, 307 nt
Filed under: air metagenome
Description: partial contains small subunit ribosomal RNA, internal transcribed spacer 1, and 5.8S ribosomal RNA
Rfam family: Eukaryotic small subunit ribosomal RNA (bases 1-46)
Source: RNAcentral
AAGUCGUAACAAGGUUUCCGUAGGUGAACCUGCGGAAGGAUCAUUACCGAGUCUUUGAACGGGGUUGUCGCUGGCGUUCUCGUAAGAGAGCGCAUGUGCACGCCUGGCUCAUCCACUCUUCAACCCCUGUGCACCAUCUGUAAGAAAAAAAAAGGAGAUGGUCGAAGGUCAAGCUUUUUCAUUAGAGCUAGGCUGGAGGUCUGUUCCUUUUUCUUCUUAUGUUUAUCAUAAACACUUCAGUUAUAAGAAUGUCUUGUUGUGUAUAACACAAAUAAUACAACUUUCAGCAACGGAUCUCUUGGCUCUC